UCUCUCUUCCAGGUAACAGAGACCUCAGCGGGCGGGCGGUGCUGCAGGUGUGCACGCGGGGGAGGGUGUGGGCUGGGGAGAGCUGCACGGCCAAAGACCUCACCUGUCUUCUGGGUUACUACUAUACAACGCUCAGGAGCGAGAGGCGUGACCAAGGCCUUACGGUGCUAGUGGACACCAGGAGACAGCAGCCCAGUCCUGCUCUGUUCUCGUCUCUGUCUGGACUGCAGGCUUUAUUACCAAAUGCACUUUACUCCGUCCUGCUACUUGUGGACAAGGAGACAACUAUCAAGCCUGAAAGAGACAUUACUACUGUGCAGACGGAGCUCCUGACGUCCCUGAAGGCUCUGUUGAAGCACAUAGACUCCAGUCAGCUCACUAGAGAACUGGACGGAACAUUCCCCUACGACCACGAUCACUGGGUCGCCUUCAGACAGAAAAUUGAGCCGUUUGCCAGCAGUUGCAGCGUGGCUCUCUCCUCCCUCAAUCUUCUAUCUCUACGUUGAGCAGCACCAGCAACCUGGACAGCACCAAGG
This is a long non-coding RNA of Oncorhynchus keta (chum salmon), 536 nucleotides long. RefSeq lists it as uncharacterized. The transcript is spliced from 5 exons. Lineage: Eukaryota; Metazoa; Chordata; Actinopteri; Salmoniformes; Salmonidae. The record is from RefSeq and is a predicted model, not a curated record.